AGGUUUGUAACUCAGUGGUAGAGUAUCAUUUCAACACAAUGAAGGACAACGGUUCAAAUCCGUUCAAACCUA
Molecule: transfer RNA, 72 nt
Filed under: Candidatus Vidania fulgoroideorum
Lineage: Bacteria; Pseudomonadati; Pseudomonadota; Betaproteobacteria
Description: tRNA-Leu
Rfam family: tRNA
About the family: Transfer RNA (tRNA) molecules are approximately 80 nucleotides in length. Their secondary structure includes four short double-helical elements and three loops (D, anti-codon, and T loops).
Source: RNAcentral